Molecule: ribosomal RNA, 254 nt
Filed under: uncultured bacterium
Lineage: Bacteria
Description: partial 16S ribosomal RNA
Rfam family: Bacterial small subunit ribosomal RNA
Source: RNAcentral
UACGGAGGGUGCGAGCGUUGUCCGGAAUCAUUGGGCGUAAAGCGCACGUAGGCGGUCUUUUAAGUCUCAUGGUGAAAGGCUGGGGCUCAACCCCAUGCAUGCCGGGGAUACUGGGAGACUGGAGACAGGCAGAGGCCAGCGGAAUUCCGGGUGUAGCGGUGGAAUGCGUAGAGAUCCGGAAGAACACCGGAGGCGAAGGCGGCUUGCUGGACCUGGUCUGACGCUGGGGCGCGAAAGCGUGGGGAGCGAACAGG